ACGCUCGACACCUACGGAGGCAGCAGUCGGGAAUAUUGCGCAAUGGAGGAAACUCUGACGCAGUGACGCCGCGUAUGGGAAGAAGGUUUUCGGAUUGUAAACCAUUUUAGACAAGGAAGAAACAAGACAGUACUUGUAGAAUAAGCUCCGGCUAACUACGUGCAGCACGCCGGACGGUAAUCGUGAGGCGGGUCNGGCGAAGGC
Molecule: ribosomal RNA, 204 nt
Filed under: uncultured bacterium
Lineage: Bacteria
Description: partial 16S ribosomal RNA
Rfam family: Bacterial small subunit ribosomal RNA
Source: RNAcentral